This 520-nucleotide ribosomal RNA is filed under the name uncultured Glomus. RNAcentral's name for it is "SSU rRNA". It matches the Rfam family "Eukaryotic small subunit ribosomal RNA", at positions 569 to 1092 of the family's 1831-position model. The record is from RNAcentral. Lineage: Eukaryota; Fungi; Glomeromycota; Glomeromycetes; Glomerales; Glomeraceae.
AGCAGCCGCGGUAAUUCCAGCUCCAAUAGCGUAUAUUAAAGUUGUUGCAGUUAAAAAGCUCGUAGUUGAAUUUCGGGAUCAAUAUACCGGUCGUGCCUUUGGUACGUACUGGUAUCAUUGAUUUCUCCCUUCUGACGAAUCAUGAUGUCAUUAAUUUGGUGUUAUGAGGAGUUAGGACUGUUACUUUGAAAAAAUUGAGUGUUUAAAGCAGGCAUUAGCUUGAAUACAUUAGCAUGGAAUAAUGAAAUAGGACGUUUGACCCUAUUUUGUUGGUUUCUAGGAUCGACGUAACGAUUAAUAGGGAUAGUUGGGGGCAUUAGUAUUCAAUUGUCAGAGGUGAAAUUCUUGGAUUUAUUGGAGACUAACUACUGCGAAAGCAUUUGCCAAGGAUGUUUUCAUUAAUCAAGAACGAAAGUUAGGGAUCGAAGACGAUCAGAUACCGUGUAGUCUUAACCAUAAACUAUAGCCGACUAGGGNUCGGAUGAUGUUAAUUUUUAGUGACUUCAUUCGCGUCCUUAAC